This 910-nucleotide ribosomal RNA is filed under the name uncultured bacterium. Its description in RNAcentral is "bacterial SSU rRNA". It matches the Rfam family "Bacterial small subunit ribosomal RNA", at positions 8 to 916 of the family's 1533-position model. The record is from RNAcentral.
AGAGUUUGAUCAUGGCUCAGGACGAACGCUGGCGGCGUGCUUAAUGCAUGCAAGUCGAACGAAGAACCCACUAUGGGUAACCACUGUGGAAUUCUUAGUGGCGAACGGGUGAGUAAUACGUGAGAAACCUGCCCCGGAGACCGGGAUAGCCCAGGGAAACCUGGAUUAAUACCGGAUACCCUCUUGCGAUCGCAUGAUCGAUUGAGGAAAUGGUCCGCUGCUCCGGGAUGGUCUCGCGUCCUAUCAGCUAGUUGGUGAGGUAACGGCUCACCAAGGCAAUGACGGGUAGCUGGUCUGAGAGGACGAUCAGCCACACUGGGACUGAGACACGGCCCAGACUCCUACGGGAGGCAGCAGCAGGGAAUUUUGCACAAUGGGCGAAAGCCUGAUGCAGCGACGCCGCGUGGGGGAUUAAUGCCUUCGGGUUGUAAACCCCUUUCAGGAGGGACGAGGCGAAAGUGACGGUACCUCCAGAAGAAGCCCCGGCCAACUACGUGCCAGCAGCCGCGGUAAUACGUAGGGGGCGAGCGUUGUCCGGAUUUAUUGGGCGUAAAGAGCUCGUAGGCGGCUCAGCAAGUCGGCCGUGAAAACCUGAGGCUCAACCUCAGGACGCCGGUCGAAACUGCUGUAGCUAGGGUUCGGUAGAGGAGAGUGGAAUUCCCGGUGUAGCGGUGAAAUGCGCAGAUAUCGGGAGGAACACCAGUAGCGAAGGCGGCUCUCUGGGCCGACACCGACGCUGAGGAGCGAAAGCUAGGGGAGCAAACAGGAUUAGAUACCCUGGUAGUCCUAGCCGUAAACGUUGGGAACUAGGUGUGGCGGAUUCAUUGACAUCUGCCGUGCCGAAGCUAACGCAUUAAGUUCCCCGCCUGGGGAGUACGGCCGCAAGGUUAAAACUCAAAGGAAUUGACGG